AACUUUCAACAAAGGAUCUCUUGGCUCUCGCAUCGAUGAAGAACGCAGCGAAGCGCGAAAUGUAGUGUGAAUCGCAGAACAUUGUGAAUCAUCGAACCUUUGAACGCACAUUGCGCCUCUCUUAACAGGGAGGCAUGCCUGUCUGAGUCUCAUUU
RNAcentral lists this ribosomal RNA (155 nucleotides) under uncultured fungus. RNAcentral's name for it is "5.8S ribosomal RNA". It matches the Rfam family "5.8S ribosomal RNA". Rfam says of the family: 5.8S ribosomal RNA (5.8S rRNA) is a component of the large subunit of the eukaryotic ribosome. It is transcribed by RNA polymerase I as part of the 45S precursor that also contains 18S and 28S rRNA. Lineage: Eukaryota; Fungi. The record is from RNAcentral.